Long non-coding RNA from Episyrphus balteatus (marmalade hoverfly), 2304 nucleotides. RefSeq lists it as uncharacterized. Lineage: Eukaryota; Metazoa; Arthropoda; Insecta; Diptera; Syrphidae. The record is from RefSeq and is a predicted model, not a curated record. The transcript has 4 exons.
CGAUGACCAAGUUGAAGCUGUGUUUAGCUACGCCAUGGCUUCGCACGAAUCUAAAUCGUUAGCAGCAAUGAGAAUGUUGUUGGUUGGUGGGACACUGACAACGAUGUAACCAAUCAUAGCUCUGUCCUUCAUGAGUUCUACGCUCGUGAGUGCAACAAUCCAGUCACCGUCGACACAUCCUUAACUGGCGGACGAAUAGCUUACGUCUGCAUCCAACUGGAAGUUAAAGACAGCAAGUUCGGCGAGACAGCUCAGAUGAGCUUGGUAUGAGUUAUAUUACUUACUCUAUUGUUGCAAAGAAGCUGAAUCUCGGUGAAAACAUGUGCUGGUUUGGAACCUGAUUUCAGGAGAAUAAGGUCAAUGCACUUUUAGAUGAAGAAAGCAGUGUGUCAAUGAAAAUUUUGGCAUUUUAAGCUUCAAUUUUCCAAUUAGUGUACUUUUGUUGCCGGUCACAGCAAAAAAUACUGUCCAAUGUCGCAGUAGCUUUCUAAAAACAUCGUACAAGAAAGACACUGGAAAAACUAUACGGGUCCACAAAGAGUGAUUCGCUAAUCUUUUAUUCUCUGUACGACACCCACAAUGAGUCUGGAGGUGAAAGAGGAGACGAUGAAAAAAAUGGGUCUCAUGCAUCUGGAUACAGUCGCAUACAACAAUGUGAAGCUCCGUCAGUGAGUUCUGCACCGAGUUCUAAAUCGAAGUUCCGUUGUUGAUAUCUUCAAAAAUAAUUGCAUACAAAUGUAAUCUAUCACUCGAAGACUUCCGCAUAUUGUGCAAUUUAACGCAGUUUGAUGAAUGCUACACAUACACGGCUGAGCAUAGAAAACAGCCACAACAUUUGCGACCAGGUGAUGAUACUCAUAAUGAUACAUAUGUAUAGAUUAGAUACUUAAAAUUUUGUAUACUGUAAUCAAUUAUAAAUAUUUCAGAACAACAUGGGUUGCAAUUCAAAUGAUCCUUCUUAAACAGAAUACCAGUGGAGUUGGUUAUUUUAUGAAUGUACCACAUACUGUCAAUAAAGGUUACAAGAAAUCCCUUACUGUAGAUGAUAGUAUUGAAUUUCCAUUCAAUAAUGAUGGAUUUCAUAAUAAUCCAGUUCUAACAGAAGAAUACUUACAAGUUCACAAUGCAGUAAUAAUUAGUUGGAACAGUUGAAUUGUCAUCUUGCAUGAAUUUAUGCGACCAAGGAGGAAAUGUCACUCUAACUAGCCUGAAGCUAAUCAAAACCAAAGCACGUACAUUUUUCUUGCAUUUCGAUUAUGGGCGACCCAGCCAAAGAAGUACAAUAAACAAGAAUUGAGUUCAUUUUUCAGAGUAGAAAUGUCCUAUAUGAUCACCAAGUGAGAGCGAUAUGUAUAUUUAUAAAAACUUUUUAUGUAAGCUGCUUAAGAAUAUAUUUAAUGUUAACCGCGAUUAUUUCUUGGCAAUAUUAAUUCUUUGGCGCCGGGUACAAAGGUGUUAAGUCAGAAAAGGUACUUUUGAGGAAAAUGGAAUUGAAGUUUCAAUUUUUGUUUGUAAAUCUGAAAAUUAUUAUUUUGAAAAAGUAAUGAUGCAGAAACAUCAUCUAUAAGAUCUUUUUUAAUAUCCAUAUGCUGUUGACCAGAAAAUGACCGUUCCAUUUAGUCUUCAAAAAUAAACUUGGUCCAAAGGUGUUAAGUCAAGAAAAAUCUUUGUUUACAUUGAUAACAAAGUUUAAUUUAUAAAAGAAAGUUGGAAAUAUCAAAGUGAUUAAUUACCAAAUGUGAGAAUUCUUUUUGAAAUAAUAUAAUGCUGUGGAAAAAUGGCUUUUUGUUUUCUAUCUUCCUCUUGACUUAACGCCUUAGGAUCAAUUUUUGUAUUUAAAAAAUAAAAAUUAAUGCAAAAUCAAAGGAGUUAAGUCAACAUAAGGCCUUAGUACCACACAAUUUUAAAUUUUUUUGACUUAAACCCUUUGUACCGAAUCAUUUCUUACGGAAGGAGAUACGCUAGAGCUAUGGCGAUAGGACCAAACGAAAGAGAGAAAAAAACUGACCGAAGUCCAACAAAAGUCUGAAAAUCGAUUUUUUUUUUACUUAACCCCUUUGUACCCGGCAGCAAAGAAUUUAUAAUGUUAAUAAUUAUCGAUUUUUAUCUUAUAACAAUUGUAUUUGAUUUUAAUCCUCUAUUAAAUGAAUAAAUAACAGUUUUGUCUAAACAGUAUUUUCUGGAUUUUUGUUGUUUUGUUUUUGAUGUUUCAAUUAUAACCUGCAGCGAUUGUCAUAAAAAAACCCAUCAGAUAAAAUUGUAAAACAUGAUAAGUCCAUUUUGAAUCAUUUUUGUCUCACACAA